UUAGUUAAGCAAUGGUGUGACACAGGAAGGCAGUCCAGCCCGGGCGAUGGUUGUCCCGGGGUAAGGCUGUAGGGGGUGUUGUAGGUAAAUCCGCAACACACAUACCCUGAGAGCUGAUGCCGAGCCGUAAGGCGAAGUGGAUGAUCCUAUGCUGUCAAGAAAAGCAUCUAGCUAGAAUUAUUGCGGCCCGUACCCGAAACCGACACAGGUGGUCAGGUAGAGAAUACCAAGGCGAUCGAGAGAAUCAUGGAUAAGGAACUCGGCAAAAUGCCCCCGUAACUUCGGGAGAAGGGGGGCCCUUCGACGUGUAGGAGUUUACCUCCGAAGCGUUGGAAGGCCGCAGAGACCAGGCUCAAGCGACUGUUUACCAAAAACGCAGGUCCGUGCGAAGUAGCAAUACGAUGUAUACGGACUGACGCCUGCCCGGUGCUGGAAGGUUAAGGGGACUGGUUAGCCGCAAGGCGAAGCUGAGAACUUAAGCCCCAGUAAACGGCGGUGGUAACUAUAACCAUCCUAAGGUAGCGAAAUUCCUUGUCGGGUAAGUUCCGACCUGCACGAAUGGCGUAACGACUUGAGCGCUGUCUCAUCCGUGAACUCGGCGAAAUUGCAUUACGAGUAAAGAUGCUCGUUACGCGCAGAAAGACGGAAAGACCCCGGGACCUUUACUAUAUCUUGAUAUUGGUGUUCGGAACGGUUUGUGUAGCAUAGGUGGGAGACUUUGAAGCGGGCACGCCAGUGUUUGUGGAGUCAUCGUUGAAAUACCACUCUGAUCGUUUUGAACUUCUAACCUCGGUCCGUAAUCCGGAUCAGGGACAGUGUCUGGUGGGUAGUUUGACUGGGGCGGUCGCCUCCUAAAAAGUAACGGAGGCGCUCAAAGGUUCCCUCAACCUGGUUGGCAAUCAGGUGUCGAGUGUAAGUGCACAAGGGAGCUUAACUGUGAGACAGACAUGUCGAGCAGGUGCGAAAGCAGGAACUAGUGAUCCGGCGGUGGCUUGUGGAAGCGCCGUCGCUCAACGGAUAAAAGGUACCCCGGGGAUAACAGGCUGAUCUUGCCCAAGAGUCCAUAUCGACGGCAAGGUUUGGCACCUCGAUGUCGGCUCGUCUCAUCCUGGGCUGGGUCCCAAGGGUUGGGCUGUUCGCCCAUUAAAGAGGCACGCGAGCUGGGUUCAGAACGUCGUGAGACAGUUCGGUCCCUAUCUUCUGUGCGCGCAGGAAACUUGAGAAGGGCUAACCCUAGUACGAGAGGACCGGGUUGGACGAACCUCUGGUGUGUCGGUUGUUCCGCCAGGAGCACCGCCGAUUGGCUACGUUCGGAAGGGAUAACCGCUGAAAGCAUCUAAGCGGGAAGCUCGCUUCGAGAUUAGGUUUCCCACUGGUUUACCAGGUAAGGCCCCCAGCUAGACGACUGGGUUGAUAGGCCGGAAGUGGAAGAGUCACAAGACUUGGAGCUGACCGGUACUAAUAGGCCGAGGAUCU
This 1476-nucleotide ribosomal RNA is filed under the name metagenome. RNAcentral describes it as "bacterial LSU rRNA". It matches the Rfam family "Bacterial large subunit ribosomal RNA", at positions 1454 to 2925 of the family's 2925-position model. The record is from RNAcentral.